GAUGAACGCUGGCGGCGUGCCUAAUACAUGCAAGUCGAGCGAACAGACGAGGAGCUUGCUCCUUUGACGUUAGCGGCGGACGGGUGAGUAACACGUGGGUAACCUACCUAUAAGACUGGGAUAACUUCGGGAAACCGGAGCUAAUACCGGAUAAUAUUUCGAACCGCAUGGUUCGAUAGUGAAAGAUGGCUCUGCUAUCACUUAUAGAUGGACCUGCGCCGUAUUAGCUAGUUGGUAAGGUAACGGCUUACCAAGGCAACGAUACGUAGCCGACCUGAGAGGGUGAUCGGCCACACUGGAACUGAGACACGGUCCAGACUCCUACGGGAGGCAGCAGUAGGGAAUCUUCCGCAAUGGGCGAAAGCCUGACGGAGCAACGCCGCGUGAGUGAUGAAGGUCUUCGGAUCGUAAAACUCUGUUAUUAGGGAAGAACAAACGUGUAAGUAACUGUGCACGUCUUGACGGUACCUAAUCAGAAAGCCAGGGCUAACUACGUG
RNAcentral lists this ribosomal RNA (497 nucleotides) under uncultured bacterium. RNAcentral describes it as "partial 16S ribosomal RNA". It matches the Rfam family "Bacterial small subunit ribosomal RNA", at positions 28 to 507 of the family's 1533-position model. The record is from RNAcentral.